RNAcentral lists this ribosomal RNA (470 nucleotides) under uncultured bacterium. RNAcentral describes it as "bacterial LSU rRNA". It matches the Rfam family "Bacterial large subunit ribosomal RNA", at positions 699 to 1160 of the family's 2925-position model. The record is from RNAcentral.
GUCAGAUGCUGCAGACCCGAAACGAAGUGAUCUAUCCAUGAGCAGGUUGAAGCUGGUGUAAGAGCCAGUGGAGGACCGAACCCGCUGACGUUGAAAAGUCUUGGGAUGACUUGUGGAUAGGGGUGAAAGGCCAAUCAAACUUCGUGAUAGCUGGUUCUCUCCGAAAUAUAUUUAGGUAUAGCCUUGUGUUGUAGCAUAUAGGGGUAGAGCACUGAAUGGGCUAGGGCUGCUUACCGCGGUACCAAAACCCUAUCAAAACUAUGAAUACUAUAUGUGGAAUCACAGGAGUCAGGCGGUGGGUGAUAAAAUCCGUCGUCAAGAGGGGAACAACCCAGACUAAACAGCUAAGGUCCCUAAGUUACAUCUAAGUGGUAAACGAAGUGGGAAGGCAUAGACAGCCAGGAGUGUUGGUCGUUAGAAGCAGCCAUCAUUUAAAGAAAGACGUAAUAGCUCACUGGUCGAGUCGUCCU